GAUGAAGAACGCAGCGAAAUGCGAUAAGUAAUGCGAAUUGCAGAAUUCAGUGAAUCAUCGAAUCUUUGAACGCACCUUGCGCCCUUUGGACAUUCCGAAGGGCAUGCCUGUUUGAGUAUCAUGAACACCUCAACUCUCACGGCUUGUCCGUGAUGAGCUUGGACUUUGGGGGUCUUGCCGGCCUGUGGUCGGCUCCUCUCAAAUGGAUCAGCUUGCCAGUGUUUGGUGGCAUCACAGGUGUGAUAACUAUCUGCGCUUGUGGUUUUCCAUCAGAUAACCUUCAGUGAUAUGGAGGUUCGCUGGAGCUCACAAAUGUCUCUCCUUAGUGAGGACAGCUCUUUGAACGUUUGAUCUCAAAUCAGGUAGGACUACCCGCUGAACUUAAGCAUAUCAAUAAGCGGAGGA
This 405-nucleotide unclassified non-coding RNA is filed under the name soil metagenome. RNAcentral's name for it is "partial contains 5.8S ribosomal RNA, internal transcribed spacer 2, and large subunit ribosomal RNA". The stretch from base 1 to 121 matches the Rfam family "5.8S ribosomal RNA", at positions 35 to 154 of the family's 154-position model. The record is from RNAcentral.